GGAGGAAUAUUGGUCAAUGGUCGGGAGACUGAACCAGCCAAGCCGCGUGAGGGAUGAAGGUACAGAGUAUCGUAAACCUCUUUUGUCAGGGAACAAAAGGCGCCACGCGUGGCGCUCCGAGUGUACCUGAAGAAAAAGCAUCGGCUAACUCCGUGCCAGCAGCCGCGGUAAUACGGAGGAUGCGAGCGUUAUCCGGAUUUAUUGGGUUUAAAGGGUGCGUAGGCGGCGAGUUAAGUCAGCGGUAAAAGCCCGGGGCUCAACCCCGGCCCGCCGUUGAAACUGGCUUGCUUGAGUUGGAGAGAAGUAGGCGGAAUGCGCGGUGUAGCGGUGAAAUGCUUAGAUAUCGCGCAGAACUCCGAUUACGAAGGCAGCCUACCGGCUCCAGACUGACGCUGAGGCACGAAAGCGUGGGUAUCGAACAGGAUUAGAUACC
Molecule: ribosomal RNA, 433 nt
Filed under: uncultured bacterium
Lineage: Bacteria
Description: bacterial SSU rRNA
Rfam family: Bacterial small subunit ribosomal RNA
Source: RNAcentral